RNAcentral lists this transfer RNA (109 nucleotides) under Aspergillus aculeatus ATCC 16872. It matches the Rfam family "tRNA". From Rfam's summary of the family: Transfer RNA (tRNA) molecules are approximately 80 nucleotides in length. Their secondary structure includes four short double-helical elements and three loops (D, anti-codon, and T loops). Lineage: Eukaryota; Fungi; Ascomycota; Eurotiomycetes; Eurotiales; Aspergillaceae. The record is from Rfam by way of RNAcentral. RNAcentral also lists the same sequence under 3 other names.
GUCUCGAUGGUGUAGUUGGUUAUCACGUGGGUCUCAUAUCUCGCAUAUGACUCGGAAGCGCAACUUCUGGGCGAUCCCAAGGCCGGGAGUUCGAACCUCCCUCGGGACA